UUUUUAUCGUUUCCAGAAUCUUCAGUAGCCUACUUGGAGACAAAUAGACCCAUGAUAACAGAGUAACAGAUUGCAGUCACAGAAAGAUAAACGUACAGUGAAUUGCCAUGUAAAGGUAUGUGCAAAAUUGAAAUGAUAAAUGUAUAAAGCCUAUACCUACUUUUACAAAGUUUCAUAUUUUGAAUUUAAUAAACCUCUUACUCAUUUUAAAAAGCAAAUAUUUUAGGCCAAAGCUGAAAUUAUAGGCAUAACUUAAUUCAUUUUAGGUUACUAUAGGAACUCUGCAACCUAUAGGCGACACUCUGUCCCGCGCGCACUCCGCAAACCAUGGAAAGCGAGCGCGCAAGAGAGAGAGAAGCGGAGAAAGGGAGCACGCGCGUGUGAUUGUGAUUGGUCGCCCGGCUGCCUGCUGCUGGAGUGACGUCACUGCAGGAGAGAACUGCCAGAAGAGGAUGCAUUUAGUCAGAAACUAGACUCUCUCAAGCUGGAGAGAGAGAACAUCUCAUCCACAGCGCGGGAGGGAAGGGAAUGAGACAAUCGCAUGCAGGUUUCAUAAAGUAAACGUUGCAUCUCUUCUCACGUCCAUGCAUGAACACUGUAAGCAUGCUUUUCAAGGGAGGAAUUCCCCAUCUUGGAAAUUAAACUGCCUGUUCCGUUCUCUUGAUGGCUGAGACGCAACGUUCGAUGGCUGAAUACGAGUACUGACUGCGAGUUCUGAAUGGAAACCGCAUCGCUGAAGAGAUGUAGGCAACUGGAGAGUUUGGCUUUUGACUAGAUGCUUCCGCGCUGCCCAGAGAUUUUAGCGUCAUGUUCUUCAACGCAAGACGCACGGGAACCUCUAUUCGUCCCCGACACACGGCCACUCGUAGCUUACUUUCUGACAGAGAGGAAUACGCACGUCAAUUGUUAAAACCUCUCAAACUGCUGUGUCUUUGUGAGAGACCAGAGGACUGGAGCUAAGGGGGAAAACGCCAUCUGGUAAGUGCAAUCAAAGCGUAUUAUAAUGCAACAUUAUAAUUAGAACAAUUAGUUGCCGAGUUAAUCUGAUUCAAACACACAGUAAAUCAUAAAGUAAAUGCUAAUGAUUUCAUGCAGUUGAAAGGAGCCAAAUGCAAAUAUUAAUUCCUAAACAAGACACUAUAUGCAUGACAUGAAUAUUUCAUCAGAAAAUCUAUAUAUUUGUUUCUCUUCCUUUCACGCCAUAUAUAUAUAUAUAUAUAUAUAUAUAUAUAUAUAUAUAUAUAUAUAUAUAUAUAUAUAUAUAUAUAUAUACAUAUACAUAUGCAUAGUCAUAAAAAAGCAUCUGUUUAUAGUUAUCUGACCUAGAUCUGUUAAAAUAUUUUCCUGUUUUUACAUAUUUGUGUAUUUAAAGACACUAAUAUAAGUUUAAUAUAAGUUCACAUUUGUACCAGACUCCAACAAUUUCUUUACAGUAAAGUGCAGAUCAUAAUCAAAAAGUUUUUCUUAAUCAUUCUAUAGAUGAAUGUUGUAUUAUGUGGCAUAUGUUUAUUUGUCAAUUCAAAUCAUAUCAGGCAGACAUUGUGCAAUUCACACAGUAUCAGCAAAUGAAUAAGAAAAGGGCUCACUAUGGCUGUUAAACAUAAAACAUAAUUAUCUCAUAAUUAUCUGUUAAACAUAAAACAGCAUAAUUGUCUCAAGAAAUAUCCCUCAAAGCAUUAGGCUUGACCUGUGUAAAAAGAACGAAAAUAAAUCUAAACCACAAUAUAUUUCAACAUGCCUAGGAAUCUGUGGUUAGUAUGACUGCAGGACAUUAGGCCAAAGGCUUCAAUGCGAUAAAUGAUCAGAGAGAGGAAAUUAUAUGUCCGUCUCCAUCUCGAUAAUGAUAAGAAUGUAUGGGCCACUAUCACAUUGCAUAUUACUUUAUGUAAAAUUAAUGUGAGCAAAGAAAUUCUGUCAUCAUUCAUUAACAAUGAUCUUUUCCAGCUAAACCGGUUACCUAGCACAAUUGAAUAACGGUUAUUCAAUGAAAUUAUGGGUGGACUGUAAUUGAUGUGGGCUGAUUCAGUAUACCUUCACAGUGACCAAUCGCACAGCUGGCUAUGAGAGCACAAAAGCCGGACGUUCAUGCCUUCGCAUGAUUCGUGUUGAGCUAAUGCACAACUAUUUACAUUACUAAUACCAGGUUUGUCUAAACAUGGUGAAGUUUUUAGCAUGACACGAACAAGAAAUUGUCGUCACCGAAUACCAUUUAUAUUAUCCAAAGAAAUAAUAUAUAGCAGUUGCCAUGACAUCUGCUUUGGCAGUGAUAAAAAGGGCUUUUUGUCCUUUAUUUUCUUGUUUCCCCUUAGCAACUGCCAGCCAUUUACACUGCCUUUUUGGAGCAAGAGGGAGAGAGGAAAAAAUGGUGCAAUUGUCCAAAUGAAAGAAAAGAAAAAUAAUAGUCAACCCUCAUCCUUCUUCUACCAGCUCCCCUCCCUUCUUCAUCAACGGAAGCAUUUAGUGCCAUCUGUGCCCCCGGAGAAAAGAGGAAAAAAGGAAAGGAGUGAGACUCUACAUCCCAAGUGCCAAUGGGGACAAAGAGGCUGCCAGUUGCCACGGACCACCAGAUGCAGGAAGACUGCAAGUCUGAAUGAGGGGUGUGCUUUCAGGAAGCCAUCUUGAUGGAGAAACUGGCUGCUGCUCCCUAAAAUGGCUGUGUUGGCAUGAGGCUCCUGGCGAUGAAACUCUGAAAAAUUCCCAUCAUUGUCAUCAGCUGCUGGAGAAACCGUGGCCAUGCUGCUAUGUUUGACUCAAAUGGUCAAUCACAUCACCUCAGGAAUCCAGCGUCCAGCAUUUCUUCCAGAUGGUUCGCUGUGAAAAUUUAACAAGCAGAUGAUUUCGAAUGUGCACUAAUUGUCUUAAAACCUUGCAGACAAUCAGUAAUACUGGAUGGGUGUGUGGAUUUGGGCUGUUCGCCCAGUUAAAUCUUAGAUGUUAGAAAAUGUGUUGUACAAUCUUAUCAGUGCUGUGUAAACUGAAGAGCAUAAUGUGCCUUAAUGUGUGAAAAGUUUACAAUGAAAGUAGUUGUUAUUGAAACAUGUCAGUGCAAUCCCGAUUUUAAAUAUUAGUAUUUUCAAUGACCUUUCAUGUUAGUCAUCCAUGUUUCAUGUUAUUAUAUUAUAAAAUGUGCCUGUUUCAGUUGAUUUACAGGAAAUUGGUUAAUCCAGAUAUUUUGUAUGGCUACUGUAUGUAUGGUUUAAUACAAGAAUUAUGCUCAGUUUCUCUCUGGAUUAUCAUUUGUCUGAUUAUGUGAUAUGUGAAACAAAUUUAUUAAGCUGCACAAAUAAACAACAUUAAAGCACUGAGUAAAUGAUUGUUGGAUUGCUGAAAAAGCCAUUUUAAGUUAUACUCUGUAUAGAAAUGUACUGUAAUGGGAGGUGGACAUCAACACAGCUUCACAUGUAGUGGCCACAGGCUAAUUUGUAACCACCUACUUGAAGACAGCUUGACAGCUCAUAGUUCUGGUGCUCCUGUCAGCACCUUGGACAGCACAUAAUAAGCAAGUGCAGAAAAUAACUAGCAGUGAAUCACCUCUCUUAUUCAUGCAGAAGUCACAAAAAAAAAUAAUAAUAAUAAAACCUAUGUGCUGGCCUGGUGUGAGUAAGCGCAGUGUGCUUAAGGUGACGUGUUUGUGUUUUUAAUCUGUGGGAAGGGGAUCAAACAAUUUUGUAUAAUUCUGUCAGUGGGAUUUGUUUGACUGGCAAACACUCAAACACUGCAUGUCAAUGAUUGUUUUCAUUUACUGAGAUUAUAUCUGAAGCAUAGUCUACAUAAAACAGAGAAUUUGUCACGUUAAAAGAUUAUCAACAGAUUUAACAUAUGAAGUAAAAUUAUUUUGAGCCAAAAUUGAGAGCUCAUUUCUAUGUCUGAGCUGGAAUAAUCAUUCAUCACAUUGUCAGCUGAUGAGAAAUAUACCUGGUGUAAAACACUGGUUAAAUUACAUUAAGCCAUAAAGGAAGGAUUCACACACAGCUCUCAAGUUAAGAUGGAUGUCUAUGACAAAUCUGACAAGAUUUAAUCUUCAGUUGAAAUUUAAUUUUGAUGGGUGUUUUUCCUGCGCAGUUCCAGAAUCACAAACACAUCUGAAGAGUUUUCACUCUCGAGUUUGUCAGUGAAUCGUGGAGUAGUACAAAUGAUCGUGUGCUCUAUCAAAUAAAACCUUUAUAUCUUAUGUUAAAAUAGGCCUGCUUUUAAUUAGAUUACUUCCAACCAAUAGCCUAUAUAACUUAAUCGGAAUUUGAAUAUUAUAUUUAAAAUACGUUUCUGUACAUUUUUACAUAUAAUUCCACGUCUGUUGCUUCAUUCAGUUUUUGUGGAGCGUACAGAAGACGGGCAGAUCAUUUUUAGAGCUUAAAGAGAUUAAAAAGUUUACGUUCUCAAUAUCAUCUUAUCAAAACAUGUUGCAGGCAGUGGUGAAAUGCAUACGUUGAAUAAGUUUGGGCACAAACUUUGGUUACAUGAACUAUUUCACCACCGAUAAUGCUGAGAAUGUUCUACCUGAUUUUACGCGAAAAAACAAAAGAUGUGGAAACUAUUCUCCAUUUUAUUGCAUAAUGAAACUCCUUCCCACCAGUUUAUAUCAUUUAUUAUGGCGUAAUUGACUUGCAUCAAUUAAAUUAACAAAAAAGGGGGAAAGAAACAAACUGACGAUAUCAACAGAACAAAAUUCAUUUAUUUUAUUUCAUUACAAAACUUUACAACUAUCCAUCGUAUAUGCUAUUCAACAAACAUUUACUGUAAGCAAUAACCAAUCUCUGUAUUAGAUUUCCAGUAAUUUAAAUCAUAGCGUUCAUAUCAGGAUAAGCCUGUGGAGAAAGAAGAGACUCGUUAGUCGUCGGAUGUCGAGUUAAUAUUGUAGGAGAGACUGCACUGCUGUAACACGGGGUAAGUUGUAAGUUUGCAAUUAGAAAUCAGCUACAGGGGUGAAAUCUGCAUCAUAUACAUGAGCACCACUCCACUGAGUUAGAGGUACAAAUCGUAAGACUCUCUGUAAAAAUAUAGAAGAUUUACAAGGCAAAAAAAUUCGAGAUGUCUCCCCGUCUCUUUUAAUUUAGUGUGAUGAAUGAUUUUACAUUACAUAUGGGUUAAUAUCAUCUGAUUCAGCAGGUUCUCUUGUUCAAUUUGAAAUACACACACGCUUUUAAUUCAAAUUUUAUAUCUGACCAGACAGGAAGGGUUGUAACACUUUCCAAUGCAGAAAUAUUGAGGGCAACAACAGUGCAAACUCAACACACAUGUCUGUUUUUACAGUGUGUUUGUUCCCAAAUGUAUUUGCUGUUUUGCUUUAAAUUGUUCUAUAUUUGUUAAAUUAAAAUGUUUAAAAUGUCCAUGUUUUCUAUUAAUGUUUUAACUCACCACAGCAGUUGUUACAGUAGCGCUCUUUGCACUUGACAUUCAAUUUCACAGUUUAGGUUGUAGAUUUUAAAACAACUGUUUUUUUUUAUUAUCAUUAUUGGAUUCUGAAUAUGUUUAUGUGCAGAUAAACUGUAUCGAUGUUAUGUUGGAGCCAGCAAAAAAAAAAAAAAAACCCUUUGCGUAUAGCUAUCGAAAUGGGGGAAGUGCAUAGAUUGUUUCUAUAGUUACACAUUUUAUAACCUAGCCCUAAAACCCACACUCCAAACAUGACAAAACCAUCUGCAUUUUUACAAAUAUGGUUAAGUAGCCUAGGUACACACACUCCAUGUUCUCCCCUCAUCUUUACAACAGCUUUUCUAGCUGACCUCUGAGGUUUAAGCAAUAGAAUAGGGUAUGACUGUUCAUGGUUGACCAAGGGGUCAGACCACUCUUAACUGACCAGACACGUGCUCUUUGCUCUAAACAAGCCUCUUAAAGAAAAAGAAUAGGUCUUAAACAAAUGAUGAGCCCGUGGGGGAGGGGAAGUUUGUUAUUCUGCGAAAAGAACAACAUUCUUCAUGCGCAAGCAACAUACAUAUUAGUCUUGAUGUAUUGUUAAAAUAGUCUAAAUGAAAAAAAGUGAAGUCACAAACAUCUAGAGCACAGUGAAAUACAUUUUAAUGUGCUAUCAUAGCUAGGCCUUUGUCAAAAUGUAGGCUUACUAUUAAUAUAAUUUCUAAAACGUAUUUAGCCAUUUUACAUAAAUAUUAACCAAUCUGCGAUCCAGAAGUCAAAGGAGACUUAAUUGAUGCCCUUCAGCGUCAUAUUUGAAGUUGAUGUCAACGCAAGUCUCUCGAGCACCAGUCACAGCUGACACAAGGGUCAGAGGUGAUGUGCUGGGUUCAAGUGGUUUGUCCAGUUAUUCCCAAAGGGCCAAUCGAAUGAUCUAAGAUGAAAGAGAUGACAAGAUUUUGCUCUGUGUCCCACUAUUAAUUCUUCUGACUUCAUUUUACUUAAAAAGAUUGUAGGCCUAUUUGAAAGCAUCUAGACAUAAAUGAGGCUUAGGCCUUAUUUCUGUUUAGGCUUUAAUGACAAACGCAUUUCUUUUAUUUACUUAAUGUUUGGAUAAAAAUAACUAUUUGGUUAAAAUAAAACAGGGUAAAUGCAUCUCAGUUUAAGCUUGGAUAACAAAAUGUAAGCGUCGACUAAUUAAAAACAUUUCAUAACAUCAAAGGACACCGUUGUUUGUAUUCUGAUCUAUCUACAUUUUUAUUCUGCUGAAUUCAGAAUUCCGAUGUAGGCUACAUUCUUCAUGUUUUGUUAUUAAACGGGACGCAUUAGAACGCUAAAAACGCCGGAAAUGACCCACCAAAGUGCGCGCGCUAACUGCAGGUGUUAAGUCACGUGGCGCUGUAUGAUCGUUUGUGUUUAUUCAUUUAUUCUGCUCGGAUUUUCUGCUUGUCAUAAGCAGAUAAAUAGCAACCACUGUACAGCGAGGCAUAAAGGUCUCACCUAUUUAGAAACACUGAGAAAUUAAUCGUGAGGCGUGACGUAGGGGAGAGAAAACAUUAUUUUUUCGUUAUAUGGUUAAAGUAAACAAAGAAACUAACAUUAGGGGAGAGUUUUUAAGUUUAACCGAUUAGAAAUCAGCUAGGCUACAUGACUAAAAUAAUGAGCAGCACCCUUCUGAGCUAGAUGUUAGCUGUUAGUGUAAAACAAAAGAUUUAUAAGAGAGAGAAAAUAAACUACAAAUUCACGUCUGGAUUAUAGUUUAUGCAUUUGUGGUCACGUCGUUUUUAAAUGACAGAAAUAUAAUCUGAAACAGUAGCCUAGUUUUUGUUUAAUUUUGAUAUAGGUUAUAACACACAAUCGCAGUUGUGACGCAUUCACAACACACAACCUGUCUGAUCCAUAUUUUUUAUAUGUAGCUAUUUACGUUGUUUUUUUCUGUUUGUUUCUCAUUUUAUUUUCUGCUUUAAAUGUAAAUGUUUCUUGUAUAUUUAAAAUAUAAAAGAGAGUGCGAAAUAGAGAGAGAGGGAAUAUGGGUGGUGAUACAUUUUUUUUUUUUUAAUUUCCACAUAAAUUUAUGUUUAAACAGUUCAUGUUUUCUAUUGGAUUAAACAUGAAAUUAAAUUAACUGAUUUUAAACAAAUAAUGGAAUUUUAUUUCAAAGUUUGAGACACAUGUAGCACAAAAAACACAGAGCUAUACAGGCGUAGAAAAUGUGUUGCAACACGCCUCGGUCUCCUCUAACAUACGGUCCCCAAAAUACUGAAAUAUCCACGGAGAAAAAAAAAAAAAGCUCAGCACCGAAAGUCUUUCAUUAAGAGCCAGACGAGCAGCAAUUAGCGACAGAGCAGCUCAGCAAAGCCAAGAGCGCCGGGAUUAUUGUCCAAUCAUUUAUAUCUUCCAAACCAGUAAGCAUUAGAGUUUGUAAUGUAAGUUAGCAUAAGAAUAGGAACAGGUCCUGUGAACUUCCCCGACCUUCUGACCCUCUUUUACCGAGAUGAAUAGCACCACUUUCAGACACCCCAGCCUCUUCAACAGGCUUGAACCAUGCCUAAAUUCCCAAUCAUGGUAAUUUAAUAUAUCUUAAGCCCCCCCGGCUGCAUGAUUCCAGUUUUUCUAUAGUUUAAUGUAGGCAUCUGUGUCGAUUCACUCCUUACUCGGGCUGCUACGGGACUAGUUUUCUCUUAUAACCUAUAAAAGCCAAGAUGAAUGGCGUUCCCAUCUUUUCAGUGUCAUUUUGAUAAAAAGACAGUACAAUUAGUCUACAAUCAGCUCCACAACAAUAACACUGUUAGGAUGCAUCCGAAAUCGUGCACGACUGAUGUAUACACACACUUGCUUUCAUAAAAGCAAACUCUUUAUUUAUUUGUUUCUUGGGAGGUUUGCAGUUUAUUGAAAUAACUAAAUAGCAAGUGGAAGCUCAUGACUGAUUCUAAACAUUGCUCAGUGACUGGCAGGUUUGAGGCGCGUGCGCGAGUCUAACAAAUGCCCCUGCCUCUUUGAUGAAUGGCGAAUAUCUAAUGAGGCAGAUGGGCACCUACUGUACUUUUCAUUGUUUGCAGAUAAUGCAUCGAUUAAUAAGCCCUGGCACAUUUGAUUUAAAUGUUACAUAAAUGUUUAUUAAUGGAUUUCCAAUAAUAAUGAGACACUGAGGAUGCGAGAGCCCAUUUUUUGCCCGUCAAGCACGCCCCACGCGAACUGCCUAUUCACGCAUCUGAAGAACUAAAGGAAAAAGGCGACAUCUUUUGGCUGGAAUACCAACAAUAGAAGACACAAACCCGCCGCAUCCCUUGAACAAGGCAUUGAACAAGCACUUGAAUCCUGAAAUAGAUGCUUGCGAUUAUGCAGAACUAACAGGCACGGCUCACAUGAAAAUAAAUCCUAAAUGAUCAAUAAAGUAUCAAUAGCCUACCCCACAAUGAUCUACGCCUCCAUCUAGGGGAUGUGCGUUGGUGCAAGCUGCUGAGUGGAUAUUAAACUGUAUGAACAUCAAG
This is a long non-coding RNA of Cyprinus carpio carpio, 8837 nucleotides long. Lineage: Eukaryota; Metazoa; Chordata; Actinopteri; Cypriniformes; Cyprinidae. The record is from Ensembl.